Molecule: ribosomal RNA, 497 nt
Filed under: uncultured bacterium
Lineage: Bacteria
Description: partial 16S ribosomal RNA
Rfam family: Bacterial small subunit ribosomal RNA
Source: RNAcentral
GAUGAACGCUGGCGGCGUGCCUAAUACAUGCAAGUCGAGCGAACAGACGAGGAGCUUGCUCCUCGGACGUUAGCGGCGGGCGGGUGAGUAACACGUGGAGAACCUACCUAUAAGACUGGGAUAACUUCGGGAAACGGGAUCUAAUAGCGGAGAAUAUAUUGAACCGCAUGGGUGAAUAGUAAAUUACGGUGUUGGUGUCUGUUAUAGAGGGAUCCGCGCCGCUUUAGCUAGUUGGGAAGGUAACGGCUUACCAAGGCAACGAUGCGAAGCCGACGUCAGGGGGGGGUCGGCCGCACGGGAGGUGAGCCAGCCACCAGACUCCUACGGGAGGCAGCAGUCGCGAAUGUUACGCAAUGGGGGAAAGCAUGACGCAGCAACGCGGAGUGAGUGGUGACGAUCUUCCGAUCGGAAAACUCUGCUAUUAGGGAAGAACCAAUGUGUACGUAGCUGUGCCCGGAUUGACGGUAACUAAUAAGAAAGCCCCGGCUAACUACGUG